AACAUUUAUCUGUGAAUGUUAGCUUUUAAAAAUGGGUAAAAUAAGGUCAAUGUAACAACAUUUUGUUUCAGAAAGCUUUCUUUGUGUGCUUGUGUUUUCUCAGGCUCUCUAAACUCCUGUUUCCUCCGAUUCCUCGCCCGCCACAGAAGUACCAGUCCUUCCUAGAAAAAAACGAUCCCCUAAGUUUUUCCUGUCCCGCGCCGCCAGCGAAACAAGAAGAGGAAAUCACAGAAGUAGAAGACGUGGUCCCAAGUUCUGAUAAUAAAAACAAAAACACGUUGGGCCAGCAAUAGCAGGCGCUUCAGUGCCCAUCAGGAGCUAGCACACAUAUGCUGAAAGUAGGCUAAACUGCUAAUUCUCGCCACCAUGUAUGCCGCCAUCUUGCUAGUAUGAUGCUGAAAAAGUUAUUUUCUAGUGCCAGAUGUGGCUCAUUCACUUGAUACUUGGCUAAUUAAUAUAUAUACGACUUGUUUUUAAUAGAUAAAAACAACAAACUGUUUAUGUGAAAGUUGAGUAAUUCACAAAAAAAGCCUGUUUGGAUGUUUCUGCUCCCUUUAUUUUUGGUGUAGUUUUAAGAGGCAAAUUUUUAAAUGAUAUCUACCAUUAUAUUCUCUCUCUCUAUAUAUGUAUAUAUUCUGAUACCAGCAUUCAAUUUUUUAUAUUAAAUUUAAAAUAUAUUUUUUACUUUU
Oryzias melastigma (Indian medaka) is the source of this 689-nucleotide long non-coding RNA. RefSeq lists it as uncharacterized. The record is from RefSeq and is a predicted model, not a curated record. The transcript is spliced from 2 exons. Lineage: Eukaryota; Metazoa; Chordata; Actinopteri; Beloniformes; Adrianichthyidae.